GUUGUUGUAGCUCAGUGGUAGAGCGCUUGCUUAGCAUGCUUGAGGUUUGGGUUUGAUCCCCAGCACCAUGA
Molecule: transfer RNA, 71 nt
Filed under: Ictidomys tridecemlineatus (thirteen-lined ground squirrel)
Lineage: Eukaryota; Metazoa; Chordata; Mammalia; Rodentia; Sciuridae
Description: Spermophilus tridecemlineatus (thirteen-lined ground squirrel) tRNA
Rfam family: tRNA
About the family: Transfer RNA (tRNA) molecules are approximately 80 nucleotides in length.
Source: Rfam by way of RNAcentral